Molecule: ribosomal RNA, 301 nt
Filed under: uncultured bacterium
Lineage: Bacteria
Description: partial 16S ribosomal RNA
Rfam family: Bacterial small subunit ribosomal RNA
Source: RNAcentral
CAGUCGCCGCGGGAAAUACAGAGGGUGCGAGCGUUAAUCGGAUUUACUGGGCGUAAAGCGUGCGUAGGCGGCUUUUUAAGUCGGAUGUGAAAUCCCUGAGCUUAACUUAGGAAUUGCAUUCGAUACUGGGAAGCUAGAGUAUGGGAGAGGAUGGUAGAAUUCCAGGUGUAGCGGUGAAAUGCGUAGAGAUCUGGAGGAAUACCGAUGGCGAAGGCAGCCAUCUGGCCUAAUACUGACGCUGAGGUACGAAAGCAUGGGGAGCAAACAGGAUUAGAUACCCGCGUAGUCCCUGUCUCUUAUU